CCCGGGAGGGGAGUGAAAUAGUACCUGAAACCGUUGGUUUACAAGCAGUCAGAGAGUCGUUGUACCGCUUGCGGUGCAGCCUCGAUGGCGUGCCUUUUGAAGAAUGAGCCUACGAGUUGCGGUAUGUGGCGAGGUUAACCCGAGAGGGGUAGCCGAAGCGAAAGCGAGUCUGAACAGGGCGUUCAGUCGCAUGCUGUAGACCCGAAGCCAAGUGAUCUUGCCAUGGUCAGGUUGAAGCGGGGGUAAGACCCCGUGGAGGACCGAACAGGUACCAGUUGAAAAUGGUUCUGAUGAACUGUGGUAAGGGGCGAAAGACCAAUCAAACUUGGCGAUAGCUGGUUCUCCUCGAAAUGCAUUUAGGUGCAGCGUUGCACGUUCAAUUCCGGAGGUAGAGCACUGGAUGGGCUAGAGGUCCAACAAGAUUAUCGACCCCAGCCAAACUCCGAAUUACGGAAUUCCAGAGUGCAGCAGUGAGACCAUGGGGGAUGAGCUUCAUUGGUCGAAAGGGAAACAGCCCAGAUCAUCAGCUAAGGCCCCAAAUUCAGGACUAAGUGUAAAACGAUGUGAAAUUGCUUAGACAGCCAGGAGGUUGGCUUAGAAGCAGCCACCCUUGAAAGAGUGCGUAACAGCUCACUGGUCGAGUGAUUUUGCGCGGACAAUGUAACGGGGCUCAAGUCCUGAGCCGAAGCUAUGGAUUGCAACGAGAUUCGUCUUGUUGCAGUGGUAGAGGAGCGUUGAUGGAGUGCCGAAGCGACGAGGUAACUCGGCGUGGAGUUCCAUCAAGUGAGAAUGUAGGUAUGAGUAGCGAAAGAGGGGUGAGAAACCCCUCCGCCGAAUGCCCAAGGUUUCCUGGGGAAGGCUAAUCCUCCCAGGGUAAGUCGGGAGCUAAGGAGAGGCCGCGAGGCGUAUCCGAUGCACAACUGGUUGAUAUUCCAGUACCGCCGUGUACACGUCAAGCCCAAGCUCGAUAAAGCGGAGGCUGCCUUCGGGCGAAUCCGCGUAGUCGGGUGAGGGUAACUAAAGCGGGACACAGCAGGAUAGGUGAUCCGGAUUAAUGGAUUUCCGGGUAAGCGUGUAGGUGGGUCACGAUGAGAGUCGAGGCCGUAACACUGAGACGCAAUACCGACCUCGUUUGAGGGAAGUCACUGAUUCCACACUGUCGAGAAAAGCGCAGUAGUGAGUUGACACGGCGCCCGUACCCCAAACCGACUCAGGUGGGCGCGUAGAGAAUACGAAGGCGAUCGGGAGAACUGUGGUUAAGGAACUCGGCAAAUUACCUCCGUAACUUCGGGAUAAGGAGGACCCAUGAUGGUCAGAGACUUCGCGUCUCGAAGCUAAUGUGGGUGUCACAAACUAGGGAGCAGCGACUGUUUAACAAAAACACAGCAGCGUGCCAAGUCGCAAGACGAUGUAUACGCUGUGACGCCUGCCCAAUGCUGGAAGGUCACGAGGAUGAGUUAGCCGCAAGGCGAAGCUUUGAAUCUAAGCCCCAGUGAAUGGCGGCCGUAACUAUAACGGUCCUAAGGUAGCGAAAUUCCUUGUCGGGUAAGUUCCGACCUGCACGAAUGGCGUAACGACUGCUUCACUGUCUCAACCACCGACCCGGCGAAAUUGAAGUACGAGUAAAGAUGCUCGUUAGAUGUAGAAAGACGGAAAGACCCCGUGCACCUUUACUAUAACUUGGUGUUGGGCUUCGACCUUAACUGUGUAGCUUAGGUGGGAGACGUUGAAGCGCGAGCGCUAGUUCGCGUGGAGUCAUCAGUGAAAUACCACCCUGUUCAGUUUGGAGCUCUAACCUCGAUCCAUCAUCUGGAUCAGGAACAGUGCCAGGCGGGUAGUUUGACUGGGGCGGUCGCCUCCUAAAUUGUAACGGAGGCGCUCAAAGGUUCCCUCAGACUGGUUGGUAAUCAGUCGGCGAGUGUAAUGACACAAGGGAGCUUUACUGCGAGACUUACAAGUCAAGCAGUUGCGAAAGCAGGACAUAGUGACCCGGCCUUUGCUUGUGGAAGCGAGGUCGCUCAACGGAUAAAAGGUACGCCGGGGAUAACAGGCUAAUCUUGCCCAAGAGUCCAUAUCGACGGCAAGGUUUGGCACCUCGAUGUCGGCUCAUCGCAUCCUGGGGCUGAAGCAGGUCCCAAGGGUUGGGCUGUUCGCCCAUUAAAGCGGUACGCGAGCUGGGUUCAGAACGUCGUGAGACAGUUCGGUCCCUAUCUUCUACAUCCGAAGGAACUUUGAGGAAUGCUGUCUUUAGUACGAGAGGACCGAGACGGACGUAGCUCUGGUGUGCCAGUUGUACCGCCCGGUGCAUGGCUGGUUAGCCACCUACGGAAGGGAUAAACGCUGAAAGCAUCUAAGUGUGAAACCCGUUCCAAGAUGAGAGUUCCCAUGCGGACAACGCAGUAAGGCCCGUGGCAAGACCACCACGUUGA
This 2429-nucleotide ribosomal RNA is filed under the name marine metagenome. Its description in RNAcentral is "bacterial LSU rRNA". It matches the Rfam family "Bacterial large subunit ribosomal RNA", at positions 525 to 2856 of the family's 2925-position model. The record is from RNAcentral.